GUAGGUGGCAAGCGUUGUCCGGAUUUAUUGGGUUUAAAGGGUGCGUAGGCGGUCUAUUAAGUCAGUGGUGAAAUAUCGCAGCUUAACUGUGAGGGUGCCAUUGAUACUGAUGGACUUGAGUGAAGUCGAAGUAGGCGGAAUUGACGGUGUAGCGGUGAAAUGCUUAGAUAUCGUCAAGAACACCGAUAGUGAAGACAGCUUACUAGGCUUAUACUGACGCUGAGGCACGAAAGUGUGGGGAUCAAACAGGAUUAGAUACCCUGGUAGUCCACACUGUAAACGUUGAUGACUCGCUGUUGGCGAUAUACAGCCAGCGGCCAAGCGCAAGCGAUAAGUCAUCCACCUGGGGAGUACGCCGGCAACGGUGAA
RNAcentral lists this ribosomal RNA (369 nucleotides) under uncultured bacterium. Its description in RNAcentral is "bacterial SSU rRNA". It matches the Rfam family "Bacterial small subunit ribosomal RNA", at positions 527 to 898 of the family's 1533-position model. The record is from RNAcentral.